Molecule: transfer RNA, 115 nt
Filed under: Colletotrichum orbiculare MAFF 240422
Lineage: Eukaryota; Fungi; Ascomycota; Sordariomycetes; Glomerellales; Glomerellaceae
Description: tRNA-Undet for anticodon ???
Rfam family: tRNA
About the family: Transfer RNA (tRNA) molecules are approximately 80 nucleotides in length. Their secondary structure includes four short double-helical elements and three loops (D, anti-codon, and T loops). Further hydrogen bonds mediate the characteristic L-shaped molecular structure. tRNAs have two regions of fundamental functional importance: the anti-codon, which is responsible for specific mRNA codon recognition, and the 3' end, to which the tRNAs corresponding amino acid is attached (by aminoacyl-tRNA synthetases). tRNAs cope with the degeneracy of the genetic code in two manners: having more than one tRNA (with a specific anti-codon) for a particular amino acid; and 'wobble' base-pairing, i.e. permitting non-standard base-pairing at the 3rd anti-codon position.
Source: RNAcentral
GGGGCGGUGGUCUAGUGGUCAUGGCGCUCUGUCUUGUAUCGUUAUCCGUAUACCUAGAACCUAUAACCUUUACCCAAAGACAGAGAGGUCGGUGGUCCGAACCCAUCCCGCUCCA